Molecule: ribosomal RNA, 449 nt
Filed under: uncultured bacterium
Lineage: Bacteria
Description: partial 16S ribosomal RNA
Rfam family: Bacterial small subunit ribosomal RNA
Source: RNAcentral
CCUACGGGGGGCUGCAGUAAGGAAUAUUGGUCAAUGGACGCAAGUCUGAACCAGCCAUGCCGCGUGGAGGAUGAAGGUCCUCUGGAUUGUAAACUUCUUUUAUUUGGGCAGAAACUCCCGAUUUCCAUCGGGAUUGACGGUACCAGAUGAAUAAGCACCGGCUAACUCCGUGCCAGCAGCCGCGGUAAUACGGAGGGUGCAAACGUUAUCCGUAUUCACUGGGUUUAGGGGGGCAGGUAAGGCGCAGGUAAAAUCUCCGGGCUUAACCCGGAUACUGCCAUUGAUACUAUUUGUCUUGAAUACUCGGGAGGUGAGCGGAAUAUGUCAUGUAGCGGUGAAAUGCUUAGAUAUGACAUAGAACACCCAUUGCGAAGGCAGCUCACUACGGAAAUAUUGACGCUGAGGCACGAAAGCGUGGGGAUCAAACAGGAUUAGAUACCCGGGUAGUC